GCCGGCCCGUCCGACGAGGCCUCCUCCCGCAAGGGUCUGGCGCACUUCCCCGGCGUCAGAACGGAGCGGAGGGAGACCUGGCCGGGCGGUCCGGACGGA
Molecule: regulatory RNA element, 99 nt
Organism: Isoptericola dokdonensis DS-3
Lineage: Bacteria; Bacillati; Actinomycetota; Actinomycetes; Micrococcales; Promicromonosporaceae
Rfam family: mraW RNA
Source: Rfam